CUGGAGACAGUCUUGUGCCUUCGGGAACUGAGAGACAGGUGCUGCAUGGGCUGUCGUCAGCUCGUGUUGUGAAAUGUUGGGUUAAGUCCCGCAACGAGCGCAACCCUUAUCCUUGUUUGCCAGCACUUCGGGUGGGAACUCCAGGGANACUGCCGGUGAUAAACCGGAGGAAGGUGGGGACGACGUCAAGUCAUCAUGGCCCUUACGAGUAGGGCUACACACGUGCUACAAUGGCGCAUACAGAGGGCGGCCAACUUGCGAAAGUGAGCGAAUCCCAAAAAGUGCGUCGUAGUCCGGAUUGGAGUCUGCAACUCGACUCCAUGAAGUCGGAAUCGCUAGUAAUCGUGGAUCAGAAUGCCACGGUGAAUACGUUCCCGGGCCUUGUACACACCGCCCGUCACACCAUGGGAGUGGGCUGCAAAAGAAGUGGGUAGUUUAACUUGCGGGGGG
This 450-nucleotide ribosomal RNA is filed under the name uncultured bacterium. RNAcentral's name for it is "bacterial SSU rRNA". It matches the Rfam family "Bacterial small subunit ribosomal RNA", at positions 1000 to 1449 of the family's 1533-position model. The record is from RNAcentral.